UACGUAGGGGGCAAGCGUUGUCCGGAAUCAUUGGGCGUAAAGAGCGUGUAGGCGGCCCGGUAAGUCCGCUGUGAAAGUCGGGGGCUCAACCCUCGAAUGCCGGUGGAUACUGUCGGGCUAGAGUGCGGAAGAGGCGAGUGGAAUUCCUGGUGUGGCGGUGAAAUGCGCAGAUAUCAGGAGGAACACCGAUUGCGAAGGCAGCUCGCUGGGACGUAACUGACGCUGAGACGCGAAAGCGUGGGGAGCAAACAGG
Molecule: ribosomal RNA, 253 nt
Filed under: uncultured bacterium
Lineage: Bacteria
Description: partial 16S ribosomal RNA
Rfam family: Bacterial small subunit ribosomal RNA
Source: RNAcentral